This 3135-nucleotide long non-coding RNA is filed under the name Gallus gallus (chicken). RNAcentral's name for it is "long non-coding RNA NONGGAT008300". Lineage: Eukaryota; Metazoa; Chordata; Aves; Galliformes; Phasianidae. The record is from RNAcentral.
GCCAUUUUCUCCCCCAAAAUACCACUUUUUCUCCCCCAGAAUAUGACAUCUCCCACAAAAUACCACUUUUCUUCCCAAAAUAAGACAUUUUCACCCCAAAAUCCCACUUUUCUCCCCAAAAUAGAACAUUUUCUCCCCCAAAAUACCACUUUUCUCCCAAAAAUGUCUUUUUCAUUGCCAAAACACAACUUUUCUCCAGAAGAUAAAAUACUGUAGCCACAAAAUACCACCUUUAUCACCAGAAAAUGAGACAUUUUCCCCAUCACAUCCAAUUGUCUGCCCUCCCCUUCCCCAUCUCCCCUAUUAAGAUGUGUAAUAAACUGCUUGGACCAACACCUGAACACCUGCUUCUGAACUUCAUGCCAGGUGUGCAGAUAUCAAAGAACCUCCUCUUCCUCCUAGCAAUUGGAGUGAGGCAAUGUGUCACUGGUGGGUCACUUAUGAGUCGCAUAUGGGGCACUGUGGGUCAGUUGUGGGGCACUUAUGGGGCACAAUGUGUCCUUUAUGGGGUAGUAUGGCUCACUGAGGGUCACUUAUGGGGCACAGAUGAGGACGUCCUGGACACAUGGUUCUCCUCCGGGCCCCACUGAUCAUGCUGUGCCCCACUGAUAACCCUGAGCCCCACUGCUCCCAUUGCUGACUCUGCUCUGUGUUCCCAGCCCAGAACUGCCCACAGCACUCAUGGAGCACCUGGCGUUGGUUGCUGCCAGCCCAGGGAGCACAGGUGCAAGCAAUGAAGCAGGGGGUGGGACAGGGUGGAGCCAGGCUGCAUCCCACCCUGAGCUCAUGGAGGGGCUGGAAGCUGAAGGGUUUGUGCCUGGGGGUUGCUCUGAUGUUGGGUCAGGGGAGUGCUGAGCCUGUUGUUAGUUUGUUGUUAAUUAUUGAUUGUCUUUAUGUUUGUUUUCUGUGGAUGCUGAUGGCAGUGGUUUUUCUGAGCCUUGGAAGGACUCUGCUGAGGGGCUUGAAGGAUCCAGCAAGGAGCCAUAGCAAAGAACGGCGCUCUCUAGCCAUCCUUCCUGGUGUCAGGCAAGCUCUAUUGCUCUUCAAGCCUGUGUUGGCACUUGCGGAGUUUCUGUAGGCUUGGGCUCACCUUGCCUUGGUACUCUCUGAGCUUUCUCUGCUCAUUCCCUAGGCUUUCCAUCAACUUCUCUAGAGGUUUUCAAGCAUCUGUGUCCGUUGGAACAACAGGAGGUGCUGAAGAACUGCAGAGCAGUGCAAGGCCUCUGCUGUGGAUCUUGGUGCUGACAUUGCCAUUGCAACUGGCUUGGUGUGGGCCUGAAGCAGUGAUGGAGCACCUGGUGGGAGUGUGGACAGCCCAGGGAGCACAGGUGGAAGCAAUUCUUCUGUGGAGUGAGAUGGGGUGGAGCCAGGCUGCAUCCCCCUCUGAGCUCAUGGAAGGGCUGGCAGUCACAGGGGAAGGAUCUGUGCCUGGAUGCUGCCAUUUGUGUUGUGUUGGGCGAGUCCUGAGCCUUGGGAAGGGUUGAGGAGUUGUUUGUUUGCUCAUUCAUGAUUGUCUCUGUGUGUUUUUGUUCGGGAGGUGGUUGCAGAUGCCAGGAGUUUUCCUGAGUGGUGCAAGGACUCUACUGAGGAUCUUAGUGGACCCAGCGAGGAACCAAAGCAAAGGAUGGACCCCAAUAUCCUUGCUGCAUGACGGCAGGCAAGCUCUAUUGCUCCCAGAGAGUGUUGUUGCUAUUCGGGCCGUUCAGUAUGAUUGGUAUCAGCUUGUUGGUCCAGCUUGACCAACACUCACCACGUCUGUCCCUGCACCAGCUGCCUUUAGGUGUCGAUCAAGUGGCAGUGGAGAGUUGUGACCCUCCCAAAGGGUGCAAGGACUCUACUGAGGCUCUUGGUGGACACAGCAGGAACCCACAGCCAGAGAUGGAUGCCAAGAUCUGCUUAUUCCUCUGUCUGGCAAGCUCUGCUGACCCCGGAGGUCGUUUCCACGCUUGCAGGGGUCCUAUAGGCUUGGUGUUGGUUGUUGCUUGUCCUCACCUUGCUGUCACCGGGUGUUCUUCUUUUGCCCAUUUUUAGGGCUCCCCAGUUCUGAUGGGAUCUCCAUGUCUUCUGUUGAUCCCAGAGUACUUCGAUUUGUUAUUUUAUUUUCAGGUUCAGUACCAUUUCAUGCUUUUAUGCUGUGUUUUUUCUUCCUUCCUUUUGUUUUACAGGCUGGAAAUGUACACCUGAUGGGAUCUAUGAUGACCCAAAUGCAGUCUAGGAAGGUUUGACCAAGUGUGGUGGGAAAGGAAGAGGAUUGGGGAUGUCAGCACCAGAUGCCGUUGCACUUUGUGACCUACCCGCCUUGCGUCUUUGAUGUGCCCAGAUCAUUGGAAAGGGGUAAGAGAUCUGUAUUUCAUUAUUAGAAGGUGAUCUCUACUUACCUUGUCUUGUGUCCAUCAGGUGGCAGUGGAGAGUUGUUGAGGGAUGGCUCCACAGCCAAGGGGGCCGUGGGUCUCUUGAACAGUUGUACAAGCAGAACAGGCCUAACAAUUGGUAGGAGUUACAAAUGGAAAAGUACUAGCUCAUUAUAAUGGCUGUGAGCUCGGGUGCUAUGUGCACAACCCAGGCUAUGAGACCUUGAAGCUGUCAAAGCAGGAAGAAAAACUGAGGCUUCAGUUAAGAUAAAGGGGUAGCUCUCCUGGGAAGAGAGAAAGACAGUGGAAUGGUAUGAAAACACGCAUGACCAAUGGUAUUGUUAGGUAGGAGGCUUUUCACAAUGCUCCAACCAAUUACAAGCUGAUGCAUUUGCUACAAUCUAUAUAUGUGUGUAAGAAGCGGAAAAUAAAUGGAAAUUCUGAUGCACUCAUAUUGGGUCAUGUCAUUACUCCCCACGCGGCUCGGCCAGCAAAUGGAUGAUUCCGGUUUUGAACCCUUGGGGGUCCACAACAUCUGGCACCUGAACAGGGACCUGAGAAACUGGGAUUGAAGGUCAGAAUGUUUGUGUAGCGUGAUUCGGACCAAGAGCAGUAACGUUGCAGUGGCAAGUUGGGGGGCAGCAUUGCCUAGACUGACUAAAAGGGGUCUGCACAAGAUCUGGAGGGCUCUAUUGGGCACUGCGUACGGCGCACAGCGGUGGGAUGCGGAGUGCACGGCACAGCGCACAGCGGUGGGACGCAGAACGCACAGCGGUUAGACGUG